RNAcentral lists this ribosomal RNA (497 nucleotides) under uncultured bacterium. RNAcentral's name for it is "partial 16S ribosomal RNA". It matches the Rfam family "Bacterial small subunit ribosomal RNA", at positions 28 to 507 of the family's 1533-position model. The record is from RNAcentral.
GGCGAACGCUGGCGGCGUGCCUAAUACAUGCAAGUUGAGCGCUGAAGGUUGGUACUUGUACCGACUGGAUGAGCAGCGAACGGGUGAGUAACGCGUGGGGAAUCUGCCUUUGAGCGGGGGACAACAUUUGGAAACGAAUGCUAAUACCGCAUAAAAACUUUAAACACAAGUUUUAAGUUUGAAAGAUGCAAUUGCAUCACUCAAAGAUGAUCCCGCGUUGUAUUAGCUAGUUGGUGAGGUAAAGGCUCACCAAGGCGAUGAUACAUAGCCGACCUGAGAGGGUGAUCGGCCACAUUGGGACUGAGACACGGCCCAAACGCCUACGGGAGGCAGCAGGAGGGAAUCUUCGGCAAUGGACGAAAGUCUGACCGAGCAACGCCGAGUGAGUGAAGAAGGUUGUCGGAUCGGAAAACUCUGUUGGUAGAGAAGAACGUUGGUGAGAGUGGAAAGCUCAUCAAGUGACGGUAACUACCCAGAAAGGGACGGCUAACUACGUG